AUUGAACGCUGGCGGCAGGCCUAACACAUGCCAGUCGAACGGUAACAGAAAGCAGCUUGCUGCUUUGCUGACGAGUGGCGGACGGGUGAGUAAUGUCUGGGAAACUGCCUGAUGGAGGGGGAUAACUACUGGAAACGGUAGCUAAUACCGCAUAACGUCGCAAGACCAAAGAGGGGGACCUUCGGGCCUCUUGCCAUCGGAUGUGCCCAGAUGGGAUUAGCUAGUAGGUGGGGUAAAGGCUCACCUAGGCGACGAUCCCUAGCUGGUCUGAGAGGAUGACCAGCCACACUGGAACUGAGACACGGUCCAGACUCCUACGGGAGGCAGCAGUGGGGAAUAUUGCACAAUGGGCGCAAGCCUGAUGCAGCCAUGCCGCGUGUAUGAAGAAGGCCUUCGGGUUGUAAAGUACCUUCAGCGGGGAGGAAGGGAGUAAAGUUAAUACCUUUGCUCAUUGACGUUACCCGCAGAAGAAGCACCGGCUAACUCCGUG
This 490-nucleotide ribosomal RNA is filed under the name uncultured bacterium. RNAcentral describes it as "partial 16S ribosomal RNA". It matches the Rfam family "Bacterial small subunit ribosomal RNA", at positions 30 to 507 of the family's 1533-position model. The record is from RNAcentral.